Molecule: ribosomal RNA, 1639 nt
Filed under: Streptococcus pneumoniae
Lineage: Bacteria; Bacillati; Bacillota; Bacilli; Lactobacillales; Streptococcaceae
Description: bacterial LSU rRNA
Rfam family: Bacterial large subunit ribosomal RNA
Source: RNAcentral
UAAGGUUAAGUUAAUAAGGGCGCACGGUGGAUGCCUUGGCACUAGGAGCCGACGAAGGACGUGACAAACGACGAUAUGCCUUGGGUAGCUGUAAGUAAGCGAUGAUCCAGGGAUUUCCGAAUGGGGGAACCCAACAGGUAGUACCUGUUACCCACAUCUGUUAAGGAUGUGAGGAGGAAGACGCAGUGAACUGAAACAUCUAAGUAGCUGCAGGAAGAGAAAGCAAAAGCGAUUGCCUUAGUAGCGGCGAGCGAAACGGCAGGAGGGCAAACCGAAGAGUUUACUCUUCGGGGUUGUAGGACUGCAAUGUGGACUCAAAGAUUAUAGAAGAAUGAUUUGGGAAGAUCAGCCAAAGAGAGUAAUAGCCUCGUAUUUAAAAUAGUCUUUGUACCUAGCAGUAUCCUGAGUACGGCGGGACACGUGAAAUCCCGUCGGAAUCUGGGAGGACCAUCUCCCAACCCUAAAUACUCCCUAGUGACCGAUAGUGAACCAGUACCGUGAGGGAAAGGUGAAAAGCACCCCGGGAGGGGAGUGAAAUAGAACCUGAAACCGUGUGCCUACAACAAGUUCGAGCCCGUUAAUGGGUGAGAGCGUGCCUUUUGUAGAAUGAACCGGCGAGUUACGUUAUGAUGCGAGGUUAAGUUGAAGAGACGGAGCCGUAGGGAAACCGAGUCUGAAUAGGGCGCCUUAGUAUCAUGACGUAGACCCGAAACCAUGUGACCUACCCAUGAGCAGGUUGAAGGUGCGGUAAGACGCACUGGAGGACCGAACCAGGGCACGUUGAAAAGUGCUUGGAUGACUUGUGGGUAGCGGAGAAAUUCCAAACGAACUUGGAGAUAGCUGGUUCUCUCCGAAAUAGCUUUAGGGCUAGCGUCGACAUUAGAGAUUCUUGGAGGUAGAGCACUGUUUGGGUGAGGGGUCCAUCCCGGAUUACCAAUCUCAGAUAAACUCCGAAUGCCAAUGAAUUAUGGUCGGCAGUCAGACUGCGAGUGCUAAGAUCCGUAGUCGAAAGGGAAACAGCCCAGACCACCAGCUAAGGUCCCAAAAUAAUUGUUAAGUGGAAAAGGAUGUGGGGUUGCACAGACAACUAGGAUGUUAGCUUAGAAGCAGCUAUUCAUUCAAAGAGUGCGUAAUAGCUCACUAGUCGAGUGACCCUGCGCCGAAAAUGUACCGGGGCUAAAACAAUUUACCGAAGCUGUGGAUACCUUUAUAGGUAUGGUAGGAGAGCGUUCUAUGUGUGAUGAAGGUAUACCGUGAGGAGUGCUGGAACGCAUAGAAGUGAGAAUGCCGGUAUGAGUAGCGAAAGACAGGUGAGAAUCCUGUCCACCGUAAGACUAAGGUUUCCAGGGGAAGGCUCGUCCGCCCUGGGUUAGUCGGGACCUAAGGAGAGACCGAAAGGUGUAUCCGAUGGACAACAGGUUGAUAUUCCUGUACUAGAGUAUGUAGUGAUGGAGGGACGCAGUAGGCUAACUAAAGCAGACGAUUGGAAGAGUCUGUCUAAGCAGUGAGGUGUGAAUUGAGUCAAAUGCUUAAUUCUAUAACAUUGAGCUGUGAUGGGGAGCGAAGUUUAGUAGCGAAGUUAGUGACGUCACACUGCCAAGAAAAGCUUCUAGCGUUUAAACAUACUCUACCCGUACCG